AGGGCACUCUGUUGGAAGAAGGGUCUGGUAACGGGCAUACCUUCAAUCUGCCUUUCAGGAACACUCUCCUGUCAGUCUCUUGGAAGCUGCUGCUAUGAGGACCACGGUACUGUUGAUGAACACACAUGCUGGAUAACACGUGUCAGCGAAACUGAAUAAUAGUUUAAAUUCAGUCAACACUGGAGCCAAUAUUCCAAGACAUCAGGCCUUGAGUGGAGUCCCGAGUCUUGGAUAUAAGGACUAAAGUCAGACAUGACUCUUAAGUACUGAUGUCUUUUUCCACCUUUGAAGGAGUUGAACCACCCAAAAGCACAUGUUCUGAAUACAGAAUAUAAUACCCUAUCCUAAAAGUGAAAUGUAGUUCUCAGAUCGGGUUUAGUCUCGCUUAUUUUGUUUUCCUUGUGCAUGAUUCAUUGAGCUGAUGUAAGAAUGUGUUAUCUCUUUUCCCUAUGACCGGGAUAGCCAGGUGUUAUUCCCAGCAAUUAGGUUCUCUGUUCUCUGUUCUCUGUUCUCUGUUCUCUGUUCUCUGUUCUCUGUUCUGCAGCCGUCUAACAGUUUAUUCAAGUAACCAGCUGAUAGCUAUCAUAUCUACCAACACAGUUAAAUGACCAGAAAAUAUGGAAUGCAAUUAAAUGCCCCAGAUUAUGAAAGAAACUGUCGUUCUUGAAAUAUUGUUUCAACAACAGGGGCUAAAUUUGGGU
Molecule: long non-coding RNA, 701 nt
Organism: Notolabrus celidotus (New Zealand spotty)
Lineage: Eukaryota; Metazoa; Chordata; Actinopteri; Labriformes; Labridae
Exons: 3
Source: RefSeq, a predicted model, not a curated record